GCAAGCAGGCGCCCACCCAUCCUGAGCUCCAUCCGCAAGAUAUCCGUGACCGCACAAAAUCAUCAUCACCCAUCCCGCCCGCGCCGCCCAAAAUCAUCAUUAUCCAUCCCGCCCGCGCCGCCCGACCGCCUGACUCUUCUCCAGCUGCCGCCACCCUGGUUCAUCCCCGCUGACGCCGCCACCGCCAAAAAUUGCGCCCGCCGCCCUGAUUCGUUCGCCGGAUCCGGGAUGCCCAAAAUCAUCGUCAUCCAUCCCGCCCGCGCC
This 264-nucleotide long non-coding RNA is filed under the name Setaria viridis. RNAcentral's name for it is "long non-coding RNA (SVIR_LNC003422)". The record is from RNAcentral. Lineage: Eukaryota; Viridiplantae; Streptophyta; Magnoliopsida; Poales; Poaceae.